GAUAAACGCUGGCGGCGCGCCUAACACAUGCAAGUCGAACGAUUAAAGCACCUUCGGGUGUGUAUAAAGUGGCGAACGGCUGAGUAACACGUGGGCAACCUGCCCCUUUCAUUGGGAUAGCCACGGGAAACCGUGGAUAAUACCGAAUACUUCGAGACUUCCGCAUGGAAGACUCGAGAAAGCUCCGGCGGAGAGGGAUGGGCCCGCGGCCUGUUAGCUUGUUGGUGGGGUAACGGCCUACCAAGGCAAUGAUGGGUAGCUGGGUUGAGAGACCGACCAGCCAGAUUGGGACUGAGACACGGCCCAGACUCCUACGGGAGGCAGCAGUGGGGAAUCUUGCACAAUGGGCGAAAGCCUGAUGCAGCGACGCCGCGUGCGGGAUGAAGGCCUUCGGGUUGUAAACCGCUUUCAGCAGGGACGAGGCGAAAGUGACGGUACCUGCAGAAGAAGCCCCGGCUAACUACGUG
This 467-nucleotide ribosomal RNA is filed under the name uncultured bacterium. RNAcentral describes it as "partial 16S ribosomal RNA". It matches the Rfam family "Bacterial small subunit ribosomal RNA", at positions 28 to 507 of the family's 1533-position model. The record is from RNAcentral.